CCUACGGGGGGCAACAGUGAGGAAUAUUGGUCAAUGGUCGGGAGACUGAACCAGCCAAGCCGCGUGAGGGAUGAAGGUACAGAGUAUCGUAAACCUCUUUUGUCAGGGAACAAAGGCGGGGACGUGUCCCCGGAUGAGUGUACCUGAAGAAAAAGCAUCGGCUAACUCCGUGCCAGCAGCCGCGGUAAUACGGAGGAUGCGAGCGUUAUCCGGAUUUAUUGGGUUGAAAGGGUGCGCAGGCGGUUUGUUAAGUCAGCGGUAAAAGCCCGGGGCUCAACCCCGGCCCGCCGUUGAAACUGGCAGUCUCGAGUUGGAGAGAAGUAUGCGGAAUGCGCGGUGUAGCGGUGAAAUGCAUAGAUAUCGCGCAGAACUCCGAUUGCGAAGGCAGCAUGCCGGCUCCACACUGACGCUGAGGCACGAAAGCGUGGGUAUCGAACAGGAUUAGAUACCCUUGUAGUC
Molecule: ribosomal RNA, 459 nt
Filed under: uncultured bacterium
Lineage: Bacteria
Description: partial 16S ribosomal RNA
Rfam family: Bacterial small subunit ribosomal RNA
Source: RNAcentral